CCUANGGGGGGCUGCAGUCGAGAAUCUUUCGCAAUGCCCGAAAGGGUGACGAAGCGACGCCGCGUGUGGGAAGAAGGCCUUCGGGUUGUAAACCACUGUCGGGAGUUAAGAAAUGUAAGGGUGUUAAUAGCGCCCUUGCUUGACUAAGGCUCCGGAGGAAGCUACGGCUAACUCUGUGCCAGCAGCCGCGGUAAUACAGAGGUGGCAAGCGUUGUUCGGAAUUAUUGGGCGUAAAGAGCACGUAGGCGGCCUUGAAAGUCAGUUGUGAAAUCCUUCCGCUUAACGGAAGAACUGCAUCUGAUACUGUUAGUCUUGAGUACGGUCAAGGUAGGCGGAAUGUGUAAUGUAGCGGUGAAAUGCUUAGAUAUUACACAGAACACCGAUUGCGAAGGCAGCUUACUGGGCCAUUACUGACGCUGAUGCACGAAAGCGUGGGGAGCGAACAGGAUUAGAUACCCCUNUANUC
This 466-nucleotide ribosomal RNA is filed under the name uncultured bacterium. RNAcentral describes it as "bacterial SSU rRNA". It matches the Rfam family "Bacterial small subunit ribosomal RNA", at positions 338 to 795 of the family's 1533-position model. The record is from RNAcentral.